RNAcentral lists this ribosomal RNA (497 nucleotides) under Cystofilobasidium macerans. Its description in RNAcentral is "eukaryotic LSU rRNA". It matches the Rfam family "Eukaryotic large subunit ribosomal RNA", at positions 162 to 651 of the family's 3401-position model. Lineage: Eukaryota; Fungi; Basidiomycota; Tremellomycetes; Cystofilobasidiales; Cystofilobasidiaceae. The record is from RNAcentral.
UUUCCGCGUUGGCCNGUGUACAAGUCCCUUGGAACAGGGCGUCAUAGAGGGUGAGAAUCCCGUCCUUGACACAGACACCCAAUGCUUUGUGAUACACUCUCAAUGAGUCGAGUUGUUUGGGAAUGCAGCUCAAAAUGGGUGGUAAAUUCCAUCUAAAGCUAAAUACUGGCGAGAGACCGAUAGCGAACAAGUACCGUGAGGGAAAGAUGAAAAGCACUUUGGAAAGAGAGUCAAACAGUACGUGAAAUUGUUGAAAGGGAAACGAUUGAAGUCAGUCGUGCCUGCCUAGUCUCAGCCUUUUGGUGUACUACUAGGUCGGCAGGUCAGCAUCAGUUUNGGGAGGAUUAACAAGGGAGCUAGGAAUGUGGCAACCUCGGUUGUGUUAUAGCCUAGUUUCGCAUUGAUCUUGCUGGACUGAGGAACGCAGUGCGCCCGCAAGGGUUGGUCUCGGACACAUUCGCACUUAGGAUGCUGGCAUAAUGGCUUUAAACGACCCG